RNAcentral lists this ribosomal RNA (484 nucleotides) under uncultured bacterium. RNAcentral's name for it is "partial 16S ribosomal RNA". It matches the Rfam family "Bacterial small subunit ribosomal RNA", at positions 28 to 523 of the family's 1533-position model. The record is from RNAcentral.
GACGAACGCUGGCGGCGUGCUUAACACAUGCAAGUCGAACGAUGAAGCCGGAGCUUGCUCUGGUGAAUUAGUGGCGAACGGGUGAGUAACACGUGAGUAACCUGCCCUUGACUAUGGGAUAACUGCGGGAAACUGUAGCUAAUACCGGAUACGACUCUCGGAGGCAUCUCCUGGGGGUGGAAAGAAUUUCGGUCAAGGAUGGACUCGCGGCCUAUCAGCUAGUUGGCGAGGUAAGGCCUCACCAAGGCGACGACGGGUAGCCGGCCUGAGAGGGUGACCGGCCACACUGGGACUGAGACACGGCCCAGACUCCUACGGGAGGCAGCAGUGGGGAAUAUUGCACAAUGGGCGCAAGCCUGAUGCAGCAACGCCGCGUGAGGGAUGACGGCCUUCGGGUUGUAAACCUCUUUUAGCAGGGAAGAAGCGAAAGUGACGGUACCUGCAGAAAAAGCACCGGCUAACUACGUGCCAGCCGCCGCCGUAA